Molecule: ribosomal RNA, 243 nt
Filed under: uncultured bacterium
Lineage: Bacteria
Description: partial 16S ribosomal RNA
Rfam family: Bacterial small subunit ribosomal RNA
Source: RNAcentral
UGGGUAACCUGCCUCAAAGAGGGGAAUAGCCUCCCGAAAGGGAGAUUAAUACCGCAUAAUAUGUUUAAGUCGCAUGACUUUAACAUCAAAGGAUUUUCUUUUAGAAAUUCCACUUUGAGAUGGACCCGCGGCGCAUUAGCUAGUUGGUGAGGUAACGGCUCACCAAGGCAACGACGGGUAGCUGGUCUGAGAGGAUGGCCAGCCACAUUGGGACUGAGACACGGUCCAGACUCCGUAGGGAGG